RNAcentral lists this ribosomal RNA (436 nucleotides) under uncultured SAR86 cluster bacterium. RNAcentral describes it as "bacterial SSU rRNA". It matches the Rfam family "Bacterial small subunit ribosomal RNA", at positions 30 to 479 of the family's 1533-position model. The record is from RNAcentral. Lineage: Bacteria; Pseudomonadati; Pseudomonadota; Gammaproteobacteria.
AUUGAACGCUGGCGGUAGGCUUAACACAUGCAAGUCGAGCGAGAAAGUAUCUUCGGAUAUGAGUAGAGCGGCGGACGGGUGAGUAACGCGUAGGAAUCUACCUAGUAGAAGGGGAUAGCCCGGGGAAACUCGGAUUAAUACCGUAUACCUCCUAAGGGAGAAAGAGGGCCUCUCUUGAUGCUCUCGCUAUUAGAUGAGCCUGCGUAAGAUUAGCUUGUUGGUGAGGUAAUGGCUUACCAAGGCUACGAUCUUUAGCUGGUCUGAGAGGACGAUCAGCCACAUUGGGACUGAGACACGGCCCAGACUCCUACGGGAGGCAGCAGUGGGGAAUAUUGGACAAUGGGCGCAAGCCUGAUCCAGCCAUACCGCGUGUGUGAAGAAGGCCUUCGGGUUGUAAAGCACUUUAAGCAGGGAGAAAAAGUUAUAAGUUAAUACC